This 253-nucleotide ribosomal RNA is filed under the name uncultured bacterium. RNAcentral's name for it is "partial 16S ribosomal RNA". It matches the Rfam family "Bacterial small subunit ribosomal RNA", at positions 524 to 776 of the family's 1533-position model. The record is from RNAcentral.
UACGUAGGGUGCAAGCGUUGUCCGGAAUUAUUGGGCGUAAAGAGCUCGUAGGCGGUCUGUCGCGUCGGCUGUGAAAACCCGGAGCUCAACUCCGGGCCUGCAGUCGAUACGGGCAGACUGGAGUUCGGCAGGGGAGACUGGAAUUCCUGGUGUAGCGGUGAAAUGCGCAGAUAUCAGGAGGAACACCGGUGGCGAAGGCGGGUCUCUGGGCCGAUACUGACGCUGAGGAGCGAAAGCGUGGGGAGCGGACAGG